UGAUGAUAAGAGAGGACAAAGCACCAUGGCCGGCGAUCCCUCCCUUGAUCAACCUCCAUUAGUGGGUCACCGACCAACCCGAAACUCUGAUAGUCAUCUGCCAACUACCGGCAUGAUGACGACUGGCCGAUCAUGGGAGAUCAGAUAUGGGAAGGAGGCUGUCCAAAAUCGAUGCUACUCUCCACCAAUACAUCCCAAUUAGCGGCCGCCAAAAACACUCAAUCGACAGACCAUCGCCCUCUCACCAAGAGCCACUACCC
Molecule: long non-coding RNA, 260 nt
Filed under: Elaeis guineensis (African oil palm)
Lineage: Eukaryota; Viridiplantae; Streptophyta; Magnoliopsida; Arecales; Arecaceae
Description: long non-coding RNA (EGUI_LNC054090)
Source: RNAcentral